UACGUAGGUGGCAAGCGUUGUCCGGAUUUACUGGGCGUAAAGAGCGCGCAGGCGGUCGUUCAAGUCGCGUGUGAAAGCCCCCGGCUCAACUGGGGAGGGUCACGCGAUACUGAUCGACUCGAAGGCAGGAGAGGGUAGUGGAAUUCCCGGUGUAGUGGUGAAAUGCGUAGAUAUCGGGAGGAACACCAGUGGCGAAGGCGGCUUUCUGGCCUGUUCUUGACGCUGAGGCGCGAAAGCUAGGGGAGCAAACGGG
RNAcentral lists this ribosomal RNA (253 nucleotides) under uncultured bacterium. Its description in RNAcentral is "partial 16S ribosomal RNA". It matches the Rfam family "Bacterial small subunit ribosomal RNA", at positions 524 to 776 of the family's 1533-position model. The record is from RNAcentral.